UUAACACACACCUCGCACCGGAGCGCGGAGGCGGUCACGCCGUAAAACGCCCAACUUUCUUAGAGUUGACCUCGG
Molecule: ribosomal RNA, 75 nt
Filed under: Clavicipitaceae sp. GD-gp-12
Lineage: Eukaryota; Fungi; Ascomycota; Sordariomycetes; Hypocreales; Clavicipitaceae
Description: Paecilomyces sp. GD-gp-12 partial 28S ribosomal RNA
Source: RNAcentral